GAUUAUGCAGUUUAAAGGUGUGAUGUUUUAAAGAAGGGAGGAAAUAUGAGCAGUCUAUUCUUGAGACCUGGCUAGAAGGAAAACUGUCAGGCAAAAUCAAGUUUUGAUUAAGGCAUUAACUGAAAUGGAGGCAGCGUUCAAGUUUAACGUGUGCUUGUCAAAAUGAGAAGAUGAUAGGAAUCAGAGAAAGAUGCUGACGAAUACCUUUAUCCAGCACACCCAGUGGGGGUCCUGAGAGUCCCCUCCCCCGGACAGCUGAAGAUUUCAUAAGAGCACAUCUUGGUGGAAACAAAUUACAUUAAGAAGCUAGUGACAUGCCAUACCAUAUUGGAGCCAAAGGCAAAAGGAAAAUACAUAAGAUUUGACUGGGAGGCUCCAAUUUUUACCUGGCCAACUGUACUGAAGAUCAAGAAAGAGAUUUUAACUUGUCACCCGCACCUGGCCUUUUCUCCUAAUCCUCAUUCUGGAUUCCAGUGCUGGGACUCCACACCCACCUCAGGGCUGUGCUGUAGCUGUGGCACUAUCCCCGUUUGAACCUUUUAUCUCAGAUGUGACUUUCUCCUGCCCCCACUGCAUGAUCAGUGUGAGACUUCUUGCCUCCUCACGUGGAAGCAGAGUGGGAAUACUGUCUAACUCUUAAUUCAAAUAUAAAGUGUAACAGCCACAUGUGCCAUAAUAAAAUCUGUCCAAAUAUUAGCCGGAA
Molecule: long non-coding RNA, 703 nt
Organism: Suricata suricatta (meerkat)
Lineage: Eukaryota; Metazoa; Chordata; Mammalia; Carnivora; Herpestidae
Exons: 5
Source: RefSeq, a predicted model, not a curated record